GUGUGCCUAGCAGUGUGGUCAAAGAGUGUAGGACUGCAAUGCUGAUUAAGGAGAUAGGCAUAUCCAGGUUCAUGGUCUAUGCUCUGCAGAUAAAGGAGGCUAUGAAUAGGGAGAAGGAGAGGGAGAAUAAGAGUGCUAGAAUAGGUAGCUUUAAUUUUAACCAGCCUAGGUUAGAGGACGGUAACCGUUCCCAGUUUUAUCUGAAACCCUUAGUUCCAGCUCCG
Molecule: long non-coding RNA, 224 nt
Filed under: Capsicum annuum
Lineage: Eukaryota; Viridiplantae; Streptophyta; Magnoliopsida; Solanales; Solanaceae
Description: long non-coding RNA (CANN_LNC009641)
Source: RNAcentral